RNAcentral lists this long non-coding RNA (425 nucleotides) under Ananas comosus (pineapple). RNAcentral describes it as "long non-coding RNA (ACOM_LNC003836)". The record is from RNAcentral. Lineage: Eukaryota; Viridiplantae; Streptophyta; Magnoliopsida; Poales; Bromeliaceae.
NUUAAUAAAUUGAAGAAUUGUUGAAAAAUAUAAAAAUAUUAUAUAUAUCUAUUUAUUUAUUUAUAAAUAGUAAGUUUAAAUGAUUAAUAAAAUUAUACAAUUAUUCUAUGCAUAGUGAAGGUAAUCUCAUUACUAUAUCUGAAGAGGUGACAAAAUUUAUAAAUACAGUUAUCAACUUCAUAUUACCAAGCAAAAAAAAUAUAACUGCAGCAGUUGCAACUGUAUAAAACCAAACAGACUAUGUGUAGUUAUAACUACAGCAUUUGCAACUGCAUGUAUUUCCAACUGCACUGUUUCUGCAACUACAUCCAACCAAAUGGCCCCUUAGAUGAAUAAAAUGUGGUGGUAUAAUUUAGAGCGAUUUUUUGGGUGUAUAAUUAGGUAGUAUGACUUUUUCAGGAAUAAAAGUUGACACAAAGGAUCAA